RNAcentral lists this ribosomal RNA (253 nucleotides) under uncultured bacterium. RNAcentral describes it as "partial 16S ribosomal RNA". It matches the Rfam family "Bacterial small subunit ribosomal RNA", at positions 524 to 776 of the family's 1533-position model. The record is from RNAcentral.
UACGGAGGGUGCAAGCGUUAUUCGGAAUUAUUGGGCGUAAAGGGCGCGUAGGCGGCUAGAUGUGUCAAAGGUGAAAUCCCUCGGCUCAACUGAGGAACUGCCUUUGAAACUGUCUGGCUUGAGGCCGGGAGAGGGUAGCGGAAUUCCCAGUGUAGCGGUGAAAUGCGUAGAUAUCGAGAGGAACACCUGCGGCGAAGGCGGGUUGCUGGGCUGAUACUGACGCUGAGGCGCGAAAGCCAGGGGAGCGAACGGG